RNAcentral lists this ribosomal RNA (292 nucleotides) under uncultured bacterium. RNAcentral describes it as "partial 16S ribosomal RNA". It matches the Rfam family "Bacterial small subunit ribosomal RNA", at positions 505 to 796 of the family's 1533-position model. The record is from RNAcentral.
GUGCCAGCCGCCGCGGUAAGACGAACCGUGCGAACGUUAUUCGGAUUCACUGGGCUUAAAGGGCGCGUAGGCGGGCGGUCAAGUCAGAGGUGAAAGCCUCCAGCUCAACUGGAGAAGUGCCCCUGAUACUGGCUGUCUCGAGGGAGGUAGGGGCGUGUGGAACUUCCGGUGGAGCGGUGAAAUGCGUAGAUAUCGGAAGGAACGCCGGUGGCGAAAGCGACGCGCUGGACCUCUUCUGACGCUGAGGCGCGAAAGCCAGGGGAGCAAACGGGAUUAGAUACCCCAGUAGUCC